GUCACUUACUGUGGUACUCGGCGCUCUUUGUACCCCUGACAAUAUCACGGUAAUGCCCAGAAGAACCACCUGCCCCGGGGCUCACCCGCAUCAGGAUAUACUUAAAGACCCCUUCCGGAUCUAUCUCCACCUCAGAACCUCCGGUCAUGAGGAUACAAACAUCCAUGCCACUACCACCACCACCAGUCUUCAGGACACCGCAAGAACAGUAUGCUCCCAGGCAUGAGCAUGGUUGGAUGGCUUCAGUUGAGGACCCGGGAGUGAUGCCACCACCAUUGCCAUAUGACCCCUGGCAAGAUUCCUGGCCAGAGGAAUAUCCUUCCUUUGGCUUUGAUGGGGAGCCAAGACAGUCACAAAGGGUCCAUGUAUUUACUCCCCCCCCCCCCCACAACACAUUCUCAUGGCAGUUAUGGAUUUUACCUACAGCCUAUGUCAUAAGAAGUGCCAAUUGGACAGGCUGAGUGGUCACACACUGGUCAUCAGUGGGACUGUCAAUCAAGAAUGAGAGCUCCACCAUCCUCAUCACUUGGACGAGGUCCACCAUCCUCAUCACUUGGAUGACCUCUACCAUCUGCAGAAGGAAAUAUAGCAGAAACUACAGCUGCCCCACAAGAACCAGCAGAUGCAGGUGACCCUGCCCCACAAGAACCAGCAGAUGCAGGUGACCCUUCCCCACAAGAACCAGCAGAUGCAGGUGACCCUGCCCCACAAGCAACUAGAAGCCCUGCUGCUCAAGAGCCUGUGGAUGCAUUGUAUUCUCCCCUGGGUGAGGAAUACAUUGCACUCCAGAGGAGGCUCAUAACAAGCACCAAGAGCAUACAAAGAGGCCAAGAGAGGUUCUUCAGGAACCAAGAAAGGUUAAUCAGGAACCAAGAAAGGUUUAUCAGGAGCCAAGAGACGAUACAACAAUGUAGCAUAGAACUGCAGAGGGACAUGGCAGCAUCGUUAAGUUCAGAACCAGUCACUGAUAUGCAGAUGCAAAUGGACAAUAGAUGGAGAGAACAAAAUCAACUCUUGGGUGUGUUGGUUGAGCACUUUACACACCAGCAGGACACUGCCUCCAGCCUAUCAUUUGUGGCCAGCACACCAGCAGAAACACCAGAAUCUUCUAAAACCAGGAAAACAAGGAAAUCCACUACAGUCACCUCAGCUCCCUCAUCCAAGAAGCCAAAAAAUAAAUAAAUAUUAUUAUAGUUCACCAUAAA
This is a long non-coding RNA of Bombina bombina (fire-bellied toad), 1205 nucleotides long. RefSeq lists it as uncharacterized. The transcript has 2 exons. The record is from RefSeq and is a predicted model, not a curated record. Lineage: Eukaryota; Metazoa; Chordata; Amphibia; Anura; Bombinatoridae.